Brassica rapa (field mustard) is the source of this 955-nucleotide long non-coding RNA. RefSeq lists it as uncharacterized. Lineage: Eukaryota; Viridiplantae; Streptophyta; Magnoliopsida; Brassicales; Brassicaceae. The record is from RefSeq and is a predicted model, not a curated record.
GAGGAGACUUGACUCCUUGGAUGUCCACCGGCGAAUACAAGUCUGAGAGGUUUAACGGCGGCGAGAUUCGCCGGUACGAAAUCAUAUGACGAAUGUUUCGGCCGUCGGAUCGGAUUAGAAAACCGGAUCUGGUUUUGGUAUUGGACCAUACAAACAAAGACCAUCCUUUUUCACUUUUGGGCUUUUUCAGCCCACGGGCCUCUGUUUUUAAGGUGGGGGAAGGAUUGAUGCCGAGUUUAAUGAAACAAAAGCCUUUCUAGUGAAUAACGGUAAGUCGGUAACGUUGUAGCCAGCCAUGGCAUCACCGGUCUUGGGAUCGAACCAAUUGGUCUGAUCAAAUUAUGUAAUUAUGUAUAUCUCUAUACUUUCUCUAAAUUGAUAAAUACUAAUCUUCAAUUUUUUAUUGAAAACAAAAGCUAUUUAUGUUCGUUCAUAAUUCUUUUUUUUUUCUGAGAGCAGCUACAAAUUUUAUUGAUAAAAUAAAAGAAUUCAGAUUUCAUUUAAUUAUAAAAACAUAUGACAUCUUUUAUGGAAACGAAUUACUACUGCUUUUAUUACAAGAUGUGUUUCAAAGGGCAUUGUGGGUCUGAAUAUAUAAGAGCAACAAAAUCUGAAAUUGGUUGGCUUUGGAAAUCAAAUCCAUUGUUAUUCCUUUGGAAAGUUCUCCUAAACAGCAUUUUUAAAGUUUUUGUCAACUAUUUUUGUGAAAAUAAACUAAAAAAAGCUAUCUUAGAAAAUUUCUCUAUUCUAUUCUCCUUUCCUUAUGCAGUAUAUGAAUCUUUUAGCUUUCCUAAUCAUAGUAAGAUUAUCAAUUCUCUUUAUAGCUAUUGGUUAUAAAUCAAAAAGGAAAAGGAGAUAAAAUUGUUAAUUCUGAUCUAACCUUAACCUAUUGUUUCUUCUUUCCUUUCAAAAUAAUUUCAUUUAUCCUAGAAAAAAAGAAGAUACAUAUAUAUUG